GAUCGAACGGCGUAGCUACAGGCUUAACACAUGCAAGUCGAGGGGCAGCAGUGGUCUUAGCUUGCUAAGGCCGAUGGCGACCGGCGCACGGGUGAGUAACGCGUAUCCAACCUGCCUUACACUCUUGGACAGCCUUCUGAAAGGGAGAUUAAUACAAGAUGUUAUCAUGAGUAAGCAUUUUCGCAUGAUUAAAGGUUUACCGGUGUAAGAUGGGGAUGCGUUCCAUUAGAUAGUAGGCGGGGUAACGGCCCACCUAGUCUUCGAUGGAUAGGGGUUCUGAGAGGAAGGUCCCCCACAUUGGAACUGAGACACGGUCCAA
This 319-nucleotide ribosomal RNA is filed under the name uncultured bacterium. RNAcentral's name for it is "bacterial SSU rRNA". It matches the Rfam family "Bacterial small subunit ribosomal RNA", at positions 37 to 334 of the family's 1533-position model. The record is from RNAcentral.